GGGACAGUAGGUUGGUCGUGCCACCGGUACGUACUGGUCUCACUGAUUCCUCCUUCCUGAAGAACCGUAAUGCCAUUAAUUUGGUGUAGCGGGGAAACAGGACUGUUACUUUGAAAAAAUUAGAGUGUUUAAGGCAAGCUAACGCUUGAAUACAUUAGCAUGGAAUAAUGAAAUAGGACGAUCGAUCCUAUUUUGUUGGUUUCUAGGAUUGACGUA
This 216-nucleotide ribosomal RNA is filed under the name Glomeromycotina sp. RNAcentral's name for it is "partial small subunit ribosomal RNA". The stretch from base 40 to 216 matches the Rfam family "Eukaryotic small subunit ribosomal RNA", at positions 686 to 864 of the family's 1831-position model. The record is from RNAcentral. Lineage: Eukaryota; Fungi; Glomeromycota.